Molecule: non-coding RNA, 2663 nt
Organism: Carica papaya (papaya)
Lineage: Eukaryota; Viridiplantae; Streptophyta; Magnoliopsida; Brassicales; Caricaceae
Source: RefSeq, a predicted model, not a curated record
CUAAAACCAUGAUAUAUGCGUACAUCUAUAUAUACAUACAUGUACCAAUACCAUAUAUAAUAUGACUUUAGGAUGAAAGGAUUGAUGAGAAUAUAUAAAGACUAUCUAAGAAAACAUUUAUAGUCUUUUGUGGGUUUUGGUUCUAGUGUAUAUAUAGCAAAUUAAUCAAGUCAAUCUUGGUCUAAUAUACACCAUAGAAAUUACAAUGCGUUGAAUAAUGUCAUGUCAGGCUGCUCAUAGUUGCCAUUGGCUUGGAAUUUGCUUUGACACCAAAGGUUUGUAUGUGAAAUUCGAUGGGAAUGCAGUGUUUCCACAUUACUAUAAAUUUAUUGGUUGGCCUUCUUUUCUGGUUACUUUUAGAAGAGUGGACUUUGAAGAAAGUCUUUUUGGUUUCAUGCAAAUUACAAAUUGCAAAUUGCUUCCCUAAAUGCCCACAACUGUAGGCACUUCAAUUUGUCUCCCCAGCAAAGGAUUUGCAGCCGGCAAGAUCUUCAAUGUGUUGACAUUUUGAAUCUGCAAUACAUAAUGGGUUUUAUUCAGAAUUAUCUGGAAGAUGUCAAGUUGCUUUCCACUUUUUUGUUAGAGACAGGUUUGUUCACUUCUUGUUUGAUGUAAUGCCACUGAGAAAAAGUGUCUUGUCAAUCUGCUUGUAUACACACCCAGCUUUUCCUUUGAGGUGGGUUCAAGUGAGAUUCAUUAUCAGAUGAAAUAUACUUCGUUCUUAUUUAAUUUACCUUUCUAUUUAUGAAAUUGCAGGGUUUCCCAGGUGCAGAGAGGAAGGAAAUUUGUUUUAUAUGUAAUUUUGCAGACUUUUUGAUAGGAUAAAACUUAGUUAUAGCAGACUUAUGCCCUAUUGGGUUUAAAACAUCAAGAGUGAUAUCUGGUCUUAUGGAGGAUACAGGGUAGGAAGUAAACAGCAAGAACCUUAUCCAGACAGACCAUUGAUUUCGACUCGCAUAUUAUUUUAUAGCAAGUAUUUCUUUAGAUGCCAUUUUUGACUGAGGAAAUCUUGAAGCACAUGGCUUAAGAGAGAUUGAAUUGAUUGGGAAUGCUUUCGAGGUUGGCAAGAUGGAUUAUAUUGGACUUUGCAUACUCUUUAGAAAAUAUUAGUGUGAUUGGAUUCAUGCAAGAUCUGUUUGGAAUCAUGCUUGGAAGGAGAGAAGAUAAAGACUUUUGUUGAUAAAGUUUCACUCUCUGGGGACUGGAUUAACCAUUGCAGAUGUGACAGAUAGAUAGUGUAGAUUUUAGUUUAAGAUAGAAGAUUUUAGCUUCUGCAUAACAAGCAUUUGAUCAAAACUGUGGAUUAAAGGUUAAGAGCCUAAGAAAUUACUAAGAAAAGUUGCCUAGCCAUUCGCAGAACUACUCUGUGAAUAAAAUACACAUAAGCAGAUUAUUGUUAGUACAAAAACCUACAAGACAUGAAAGAUAAGAUGGGACAGUGCUGAAAAUAGCAUUUAGCAAAGCAAUCUUCAUCUUGGUAGACAUACCCUGAAUAUGUCCUCAUGACAACAUGUGCUUAGGUGAUUGAUCUCCUUACCCUCUUUUAUGCUAUGCCAAGUCCAAGUAACAUCCUCCAUUUACAUUAUAUCAAUGCAUAUCUCAGUGUGAUCUGCACUUUAUACAGGUCACAAUUGUGAUCCACAGGCUGGAGAGUUAUUGGCACUAUCUUCUGUGUUACCUCCAUGGCAAAUAAAGACUUCUUUUUCAUGGUAAGAUAAGUGUAACCUGAAGUGGAACACCUUAUCCUUUUUGAGAUCUUAUCUUGUUUGCACCUCCUCUAUAUUUUUAUUGGUACGAUGCAUGAUAUAAUAAAAAAUGUUGGGACCUAGUAAUGAUUUUUCUUCCUCCUUUUUCUUUUGCAUCUUCCCUCAAAGCAAAAGAUCAAACAGAACCAAUCCUAAAUCUAUCAGAGGCCUGAAUGAUCUGAAUGACCAUAGAGCAUGCUUAUAUUAAUGCAAAUGGAUACACCAUUUUGAACUAAUGAUCAAUUUUGAGAAAUUUUAGGGAAGUAAUAUGUCCUUUUAUUUAAUGAAACCAAGGGAAAUUCUUUUGGUUUGAAUUUCUCUUUAGAUGUAUUUAUUAUUCAGUCACUGUUUACAUUUUCUUUCGAGCAUUUACUUAAUCUCUGAGCGUUAUUACUUAUCGAUUUACUCUAAUGUAUUAGGAAUGAGGUUGAUCAUGAGUUAGAAAUCUGUCGUGAUCUCUCGAUUUCAUAUGAAUUUAGUAUCUACCUCAUCUGUGAUUGUAACUCACAUUGACCUGCCAACAUAUGUUCUCAUGUUUCCUAUUUACUGUUCUUGUUUGUUCCUUUGGUUUCAUUCCCAUACAACAGAAGAUGAUAAUAAUUUGAGCACUGAUGUUCAUUAACGUUGAAGACAGAAACCGUGGGCCCUGCUUAUUUGCAACCGCAGCUGCAUUUGGCUUUUUCAGGCAACUGCCAUGAAGAAAGAACCUGCAAACUCUCAGAAAACUAAAACAAAAGAAAGAAGAAGACAAAGGAUGGGGGAAAGAAAAAACGAUCAUCAGAAGGGAUUUGAGGUCCAAGAUCAUGGUUAUCUAAAGUAGUCAUCUUGGUGAAUUUGCUCAGUUUCUUCCACCCAGUUGUCCAUGCUGAUGUCUGUUUCUGCUUUGUCAACUUAUCAAACUGCCUCUGCAAAUUCUCC